AUGCACACGGUAAUGACCAGAUACAAGACAAGAAAACCAAAGAAAAACGAGCUUCUGCCCGACUUCAUUGAAAUAGAUGGCUUCCAUACAUCUCUCGAGAAUUUUCAUGCAUCUCUAAAGCCAAGAGCGGAGAUUGACAAUGAGGUCAUGACCUUAUACCUGAAGACAUUCAACUAUGAUCAGUCAGUGAAGAAGAAGAAGCCAAAAAAAAUUGUUUUCUCAGUGUUGAUGAGUUUGAAACUCAGUGCUGAGCCAGAUGUGUUUGAUCCGAAGGUGUGCGAAAAAGAAUUUAAGAAUGCUUGCUUACAAAAUCACAUUUCAAAAUCUGACCUGCUAUUCUUCAUGGUUGUACACAAAAAGCACUGGGCAGUAGUAGUUGUUAACAUCACCCAAAAGGAGUUCAAUAUCUUUGACUCCAUUAGGAACUCGGAAGACCUUUUUGAGAUGGACAGGAUCACUAAGAAUGUGGUCGCAAACAUCAAGAGUGUUGCAAUGAGGGAGCCACUUUUUAAGCACAAUCUUGAGUCUUACUCGCUAUUCACCCCACUUGAUUACCCUCAAUAA
This 564-nucleotide ribosomal RNA is filed under the name Triticum aestivum (bread wheat). RNAcentral's name for it is "partial small subunit ribosomal RNA". Lineage: Eukaryota; Viridiplantae; Streptophyta; Magnoliopsida; Poales; Poaceae. The record is from RNAcentral.